CAGUAGCCGCGGUAAUACGUAGGUCCCGAGCGUUGUCCGGAUUUAUUGGGCGUAAAGCGAGCGCAGGCGGUUAGAUAAGUCUGAAGUUAAAGGCUGUGGCUUAACCAUAGUACGCUUUGGAAACUGUUUAACUUGAGUGCAAGAGGGGAGAGUGGAAUUCCAUGUGUAGCGGUGAAAUGCGUAGAUAUAUGGAGGAACACCGGCGGCGAAAGCGGCUCUCUGGCUUGUAACUGACGCUGAGGCUCGAAAGCGUGGGGAGCAAACAGGAUUAGAUACCCCCGUAGUCCCUGUCUCUUAUACA
Molecule: ribosomal RNA, 301 nt
Filed under: uncultured bacterium
Lineage: Bacteria
Description: partial 16S ribosomal RNA
Rfam family: Bacterial small subunit ribosomal RNA
Source: RNAcentral